GCAAAAAAAAUUACACCCUUAUGCAUAUGAGAAAAUCUAACAUUGGGACUGCUUGUUUCUUUUUUAUAUUUUAGUGGAUUAGGUGAUAGUAAGGUUACGUGUGAAAACUCUGGGACUGUUUUUUUAAUAUAUAUAUAUAAUGGUACAUGUGUUAGUAGGAGUGGGAAUGGAUAGGGGUAUUCAUAAUAACCAUCUAUAGUUGCAUAGCUAUUGCUCGUAAAGGUUGAGCCUUCUACAAGUUGAUGCCAAACCUAUCUUUCAUGUCCAUGCUCUCUGGUGUAAU
Molecule: unclassified non-coding RNA, 283 nt
Filed under: Hevea brasiliensis (rubber tree)
Lineage: Eukaryota; Viridiplantae; Streptophyta; Magnoliopsida; Malpighiales; Euphorbiaceae
Source: RNAcentral